CCUACGGGUGGCAGCAGUGGGGAAUAUUGGACAAUGGGCGAAAGUCUGAUCCAGCCAUGCCGCGUGUGUGAAGAAGGCCUUCGGGUUGUAAAGCACUUUCAGUGGGGAAGAAAGCCUUGGGGCUAAUACCCUCGAGGAAGGACAUCACCCACAGAAGAAGCACCGGCUAACUCCGUGCCAGCAGCCGCGGUAAUACGGAGGGUGCGAGCGUUAAUCGGAAUUACUGGGCGUAAAGCGCGCGUAGGCGGUCUGAUAAGCCGGUUGUGAAAGCCCCGGGCUCAACCUGGGAACGGCAUCCGGAACUGUCAGGCUAGAGUGCAGGAGAGGAAGGUAGAAUUCCCGGUGUAGCGGUGAAAUGCGUAGAGAUCGGGAGGAAUACCAGUGGCGAAGGCGGUCUUCUGGACUGACACUGACGCUGAGGUGCGAAAGCGUGGGUAGCAAACAGGAUUAGAUACCCGGGUAGUC
RNAcentral lists this ribosomal RNA (465 nucleotides) under Vreelandella stevensii. RNAcentral's name for it is "partial 16S ribosomal RNA". It matches the Rfam family "Bacterial small subunit ribosomal RNA", at positions 338 to 795 of the family's 1533-position model. The record is from RNAcentral. Lineage: Bacteria; Pseudomonadati; Pseudomonadota; Gammaproteobacteria; Oceanospirillales; Halomonadaceae.